RNAcentral lists this ribosomal RNA (253 nucleotides) under uncultured bacterium. RNAcentral's name for it is "partial 16S ribosomal RNA". It matches the Rfam family "Bacterial small subunit ribosomal RNA", at positions 524 to 776 of the family's 1533-position model. The record is from RNAcentral.
UACAGAGGUCUCAAGCGUUGUUCGGAUUCAUUGGGCGUAAAGGGUGCGUAGGCGGCGCGGUAAGUCGGGUGUGAAAUCUCGGAGCUUAACUCCGAAACUGCAUUCGAUACUGCCGUGCUUGAGGACUGGAGAGGAGACUGGAAUUUACGGUGUAGCGGUGAAAUGCGUAGAUAUCGUAAGGAAGACCAGUGGCGAAGGCGGCUCACUGGCCCGGAACUGACGCUGAGGUGCGAAAGCGUGGGGAGCAAACAGG